GACGAACGCUGGCGGCGUGCCUAAUACAUGCAAGUCGAGCGAAGUUUUUCUGGUGCUUACACUAGAAAAACUUAGCGGCGAACGGGUGAGUAACACGUAAAGAACCUGCCUCAUAGACUGGGACAACUAUUGGAAACGAUAGCUAAUACCGGAUAACAGUAUUUCUCGCAUGAGAGAUAUUUAAAAGUUGGUUAUGCUAACACUAUGAGAUGGCUUUGCGGUGCAUUAGCUAGUUGGUGGGGUAAAGGCCCACCAAGGCGACGAUGCAUAGCCGACCUGAGAGGGUGAUCGGCCACACUGGGACUGAGACACGGCCCAGACUCCUACGGGAGGCAGCAGUAGGGAAUCUUCCGCAAUGGGCGAAAGCCUGACGGAGCAACGCCGCGUGAGUGAAGAAGGAUUUCGGUUCGUAAAGCUCUGUUGUUAGGGAAGAAUGGAUAUGUAGUAACUAUACAUGUAAGAGACGGUACCUAACCAGAAAGCCACGGCUAACUACGUG
This 499-nucleotide ribosomal RNA is filed under the name uncultured bacterium. RNAcentral describes it as "partial 16S ribosomal RNA". It matches the Rfam family "Bacterial small subunit ribosomal RNA", at positions 28 to 507 of the family's 1533-position model. The record is from RNAcentral.